GCGUUCAUAGCUCAGUUGGUUAGAGCACCACCUUGACAUGGUGGGGGUCGUUGGUUCGAGUCCAAUUGAUCGCACCA
Molecule: transfer RNA, 77 nt
Filed under: Escherichia coli
Lineage: Bacteria; Pseudomonadati; Pseudomonadota; Gammaproteobacteria; Enterobacterales; Enterobacteriaceae
Also listed under: 1 other name
Description: tRNA-Val
Rfam family: tRNA
About the family: Transfer RNA (tRNA) molecules are approximately 80 nucleotides in length. Their secondary structure includes four short double-helical elements and three loops (D, anti-codon, and T loops). Further hydrogen bonds mediate the characteristic L-shaped molecular structure. tRNAs have two regions of fundamental functional importance: the anti-codon, which is responsible for specific mRNA codon recognition, and the 3' end, to which the tRNAs corresponding amino acid is attached (by aminoacyl-tRNA synthetases). tRNAs cope with the degeneracy of the genetic code in two manners: having more than one tRNA (with a specific anti-codon) for a particular amino acid; and 'wobble' base-pairing, i.e. permitting non-standard base-pairing at the 3rd anti-codon position.
Source: RNAcentral